RNAcentral lists this transfer RNA (72 nucleotides) under Capra hircus (goat). It matches the Rfam family "tRNA". From Rfam's summary of the family: Transfer RNA (tRNA) molecules are approximately 80 nucleotides in length. Their secondary structure includes four short double-helical elements and three loops (D, anti-codon, and T loops). Further hydrogen bonds mediate the characteristic L-shaped molecular structure. tRNAs have two regions of fundamental functional importance: the anti-codon, which is responsible for specific mRNA codon recognition, and the 3' end, to which the tRNAs corresponding amino acid is attached (by aminoacyl-tRNA synthetases). tRNAs cope with the degeneracy of the genetic code in two manners: having more than one tRNA (with a specific anti-codon) for a particular amino acid; and 'wobble' base-pairing, i.e. permitting non-standard base-pairing at the 3rd anti-codon position. Lineage: Eukaryota; Metazoa; Chordata; Mammalia; Artiodactyla; Bovidae. RNAcentral also lists the same sequence under 1 other name. The record is from Rfam by way of RNAcentral.
UCCCUGGUGGCUCAGAUGGUAAAGUAUCCGCUUUCAAUGCUGGAGACCCAGGUUCGAUCUCUGGGUGGGGAA